UUAAGUCCCGCAACGAGCGCAACCCUUACGCUGAGUUACCAGCACGUAAUGGUGGGCACUCUAAGGAGACUGCCGGUGACAAACCGGAGGAAGGUGGGGAUGACGUCAAGUCAUCAUGGCCCUUACGGCCUGGGCUACACACGUGCUACAAUGGUACGGUACAAAGGGUUGCCAAGCCGCGAGGUGGAGCUAAUCCCAUAAAACCGAUCGUAGUCCGGAUCGCAGUCUGCAACUCGACUGCGUGAAGUCGGAAUCGCUAGUAAUCGUGAAUCAGAAUGUCACGGUGAAUACGUUCCCGGGCCUU
RNAcentral lists this ribosomal RNA (304 nucleotides) under uncultured Pseudomonas sp. RNAcentral describes it as "bacterial SSU rRNA". It matches the Rfam family "Bacterial small subunit ribosomal RNA", at positions 1080 to 1382 of the family's 1533-position model. Lineage: Bacteria; Pseudomonadati; Pseudomonadota; Gammaproteobacteria; Pseudomonadales; Pseudomonadaceae. The record is from RNAcentral.